CUCACUCCUAGGGACAAUUUAGAGUUGCCAAUUCACCUACGAGCUGGCAUUUUCUCAAAAAUGUAUCUUUUUGGCUAUUGUAAUGUUUUCCCCUUAUUUAUGGUCAACUUUGAUUAUUUACUUAUUUGUCUUUUUAUUUUGCUAAUCAUUAAUUACACUUUAAGUUUCAUUUUCAUUCAACAAUUCAAUUCUGCAUUUUCUUCUGGAAACGCAGCUCCUUUUAGCUGGAUUUGUAAUCUAUUAGUUGAGGAUUUUAGUCGUAUGACUAAAAAAAUUGAGCAUUUAUAAAGAUACUUUUUCAGUGAAUUUUUUUUUUUCUUGAGCAGCAGUAUGUUCCAAUGUUUUAUUCUAGUUCCUAGCAUUCUUCUCUUUUCAUCACUAGAUGUCACCUUUGAGAGAAUGAACCCUAAUUUGAUCCCUUUAAGAUUCAUAAGUGGUUCUUUGUUUUAUUUUCACAUCCCUACAUGAAGGCAAGAGAGAAUCCGACAAUCAAGAGGACGCUGUGGCUCCUGAAGAUCUGCAAGCCGCAGGAAAAGAACUGGCGCUGCAGCCUAGACAGGCUUUUGGUAAAUUCCUCUGCUUCUGGAAACCGUUACCUGGAUUUAUUUCCCGCUCGCCGUGAACGGAGCUGCAAGUUACAGACGAGCUGGGAGUCAGAAGAUCUGCUCUCACUGGAGGGUUUUCCUUAAAAAAUAAAAAGCAUUGUGGGAAGUGUAGAGUCCAUCCAUGAGCCUCAUCAUCACGUCUGAGAUCCUGGAGCUAACCGCUACAACAUCCGGUCGCCGCUCCGCAUCUGGGGCCAAACACCUGCACAGCUAUUUGUCAGGCUCAUACUCGGCCUCCACGAUCUAUCAGCACAAAAAAGGAGGAAAAUUUAUCAUGGGAUUGAUGGUGUUUACAGUCAAGGGAAACCUGGAGGCUUUGGUG
Molecule: non-coding RNA, 927 nt
Organism: Oryzias latipes (Japanese medaka)
Lineage: Eukaryota; Metazoa; Chordata; Actinopteri; Beloniformes; Adrianichthyidae
Source: RefSeq, a predicted model, not a curated record